Molecule: microRNA, 21 nt
Filed under: Lotus japonicus
Lineage: Eukaryota; Viridiplantae; Streptophyta; Magnoliopsida; Fabales; Fabaceae
Description: lja-miR7529
Source: miRBase by way of RNAcentral
CCGUAGCAUCAAUUUAUCCGA